CGCGGCCUAUCAGCUUGUUGGUGAGGUAAUGGCUCACCAAGGCAUCGACGGGUAGCUGGUCUGAGAGGAUGAUCAGCCACACUGGAACUGAGACACGGUCCAGACUCCUACGGGAGGCAGCAGUGGGGAAUCUUGCACAAUGGGCGAAAGCCUGAUGCAGCGACGCCGCGUGGGGGAUGAAGGCCUUAGGGUCGUAAACCCCUUUCAGUAGGGAAGAAAAUGACGGUACCUACAGAAGAAGCUCCGGCCAACUACGUGCCAGCAGCCGCGGUAAGACGUAGGGGGCGAGCGUUGUCCGGAUUUAUUGGGCGUAAAGGGCUCGUAGGCGGUUACGUAAGUCGGAUGUGAAAACUCGAGGCUCAACUUCGAGACGCCAUCCGAUACUGCGUUGACUUGAGUCCGGUAGAGGAGUGUGGAAUUCCUAGUGUAGCGGUGAAAUGCGCAGAUAUUAGGAGGAACACCUAUUGCGAAGGCAGCACUCUGGGCCGGUACUGACGCUGAGGAGCGAAAGCAUGGGUAGCAAACAGGAUUAGAUACCCUGGUAGUCCAUGCCGUAAACGGUGGGCACUAGAUGUGGGGACUUUCAACGGUUUCCGUGUCGUAGCUAACGCAUUAAGUGCCCCGCCUGGGGAGUACGG
This 638-nucleotide ribosomal RNA is filed under the name uncultured Actinomycetes bacterium. RNAcentral's name for it is "bacterial SSU rRNA". It matches the Rfam family "Bacterial small subunit ribosomal RNA", at positions 232 to 885 of the family's 1533-position model. The record is from RNAcentral. Lineage: Bacteria; Bacillati; Actinomycetota; Actinomycetes.